RNAcentral lists this ribosomal RNA (404 nucleotides) under uncultured Bryobacter sp. RNAcentral describes it as "bacterial SSU rRNA". It matches the Rfam family "Bacterial small subunit ribosomal RNA", at positions 356 to 777 of the family's 1533-position model. Lineage: Bacteria; Pseudomonadati; Acidobacteriota; Terriglobia; Bryobacterales; Bryobacteraceae. The record is from RNAcentral.
GGGGAAUCUUGCACAAUGGAGGAAACUCUGAUGCAGCGACGCCGCGUGGACGACGAAGCCCUUCGGGGUGUAAAGUCCUUUCGACCGGAACGAUAAUGACGGUACCGGUGGAAGAAGCUGCGGCUAACUACGUGCCAGCAGCCGCGGUAAUACGUAGGCAGCAAGCGUUGUUCGGAAUUAUUGGGCGUAAAGAGUUCGUAGGCGGUGCGGCAAGUUCGGUGUGAAAUCUCCCGGCUCAACUGGGAGGGUGCGCUAAAUACUGCCGUGCUCGAGUAUAGGAGAGGUAAGCGGAAUUCCUGGUGUAGCGGUGAAAUGCGUAGAUAUCAGGAGGAACACCUGUGGUGUAGACGGCUUACUGGACUAUAACUGACGCUGAGGAACGAAAGCGUGGGUAGCAAACAGGA